RNAcentral lists this ribosomal RNA (445 nucleotides) under uncultured bacterium. Its description in RNAcentral is "partial 16S ribosomal RNA". It matches the Rfam family "Bacterial small subunit ribosomal RNA", at positions 354 to 796 of the family's 1533-position model. The record is from RNAcentral.
GUAGGGAAUAUUGGGCAAUGGAUGCAAGUCUGACCCAGCCAUCCCGCGUGCCGGAAGAAGGCCCUCAGGGUUGUAAACGGCUUUUGACGGUGAAGAAUCGACAGGAUGCGUCCUGUUUUGACGGUAGCCGUUGAAUAAGCACCGGCUAACUCCGUGCCAGCAGCAGCGGUACUACGGAGGGUGCGAGCGUUGUCCGGAUUUAUUGGGUUUAAAGGGUGCGUAGGGUGGAAGGUCAGUCAGCGGUGAAGAGCUGUCGAGUAACGAUAGUCUUGCCGCAGAUACUUCCUUUCUUGACUGAGGAGGAGUGCACUGGAACGGAUGGUGUAGCGGUGAAAUGCAUAGAUAUCAUCCAGAACACCGAUUGCGAAGGCAGGUGGCUGUACCUUAAUCGACGCUGAUGCACGAAAGCAUGGGGAGCAAACAGGAUUAGAAACCCUGGUAGUCC